GAUGAACGCUGGCGGCGUGCUUAACACAUGCAAGUCGAACGGAAAGGCCCAAGCUUGCUUGGGUACUCGAGUGGCGAACGGGUGAGUAACACGUGGGUGAUCUGCCCUGCACUUCGGGAUAAGCCUGGGAAACUGGGUCUAAUACCGGAUAGGACCACAUUUUGGAUGGUGUGGUGGAAAGUUUUUCGGUGUGGGAUGAGCUCGCGGCCUAUCAGCUUGUUGGUGGGGUAAUGGCCUACCAAGGCGUCGACGGGUAGCCGGCCUGAGAGGGUGUACGGCCACGUUGGGACUGAGAUACGGCCCAGACUCCUACGGGAGGCAGCAGUGGGGAAUAUUGCACAAUGGGCGCAAGCCUGAUGCAGCGACGCCGCGUGGGGGAUGACGGUCUUCGGGUUGUAACCUCCUUUCGCUAGGGACGAAGCGCAAGUGACGGUAACUGGAGAAGAAGCACCGGCUAACUACGUG
This 465-nucleotide ribosomal RNA is filed under the name uncultured bacterium. RNAcentral describes it as "partial 16S ribosomal RNA". It matches the Rfam family "Bacterial small subunit ribosomal RNA", at positions 28 to 507 of the family's 1533-position model. The record is from RNAcentral.